Molecule: ribosomal RNA, 2890 nt
Filed under: Pseudomonas donghuensis
Lineage: Bacteria; Pseudomonadati; Pseudomonadota; Gammaproteobacteria; Pseudomonadales; Pseudomonadaceae
Description: 23S ribosomal RNA
Rfam family: Bacterial large subunit ribosomal RNA
Source: RNAcentral
GGUCAAGUGAAGAAGCGCAUACGGUGGAUGCCUUGGCAGUCAGAGGCGAUGAAAGACGUGGUAGCCUGCGAUAAGCUUCGGGGAGUCGGCAAACAGACUUUGAUCCGGAGAUCUCUGAAUGGGGGAACCCACUCAGCAUAAGCUGAGUAUCUUGUACUGAAUACAUAGGUGCAAGAGGCGAACCAGGGGAACUGAAACAUCUAAGUACCCUGAGGAAAAGAAAUCAACCGAGAUUCCCUUAGUAGUGGCGAGCGAACGGGGACUAGCCCUUAAGUGGCUUUGAGAUUAGCGGAACGCUCUGGAAAGUGCGGCCAUAGUGGGUGAUAGCCCUGUACGCGAAAAUCUCUUAGUCAUGAAAUCGAGUAGGACGGAGCACGAGAAACUUUGUCUGAAUAUGGGGGGACCAUCCUCCAAGGCUAAAUACUACUGACUGACCGAUAGUGAACCAGUACCGUGAGGGAAAGGCGAAAAGAACCCCGGAGAGGGGAGUGAAAUAGAACCUGAAACCGUAUGCGUACAAGCAGUGGGAGCCUACUUGUUAGGUGACUGCGUACCUUUUGUAUAAUGGGUCAGCGACUUAUAUUCAGUGGCGAGCUUAACCGAAUAGGGGAGGCGUAGCGAAAGCGAGUCUUAAUAGGGCGUUUAGUCGCUGGGUAUAGACCCGAAACCGGGCGAUCUAUCCAUGGGCAGGUUGAAGGUUAGGUAACACUGACUGGAGGACCGAACCGACUACCGUUGAAAAGUUAGCGGAUGACCUGUGGAUCGGAGUGAAAGGCUAAUCAAGCUCGGAGAUAGCUGGUUCUCCUCGAAAGCUAUUUAGGUAGCGCCUCAUGUAUCACUGUAGGGGGUAGAGCACUGUUUCGGCUAGGGGGUCAUCCCGACUUACCAAACCGAUGCAAACUCCGAAUACCUACAAGUGCCGAGCAUGGGAGACACACGGCGGGUGCUAACGUCCGUCGUGAAAAGGGAAACAACCCAGACCGUCAGCUAAGGUCCCAAAGUUAUGGUUAAGUGGGAAACGAUGUGGGAAGGCUUAGACAGCUAGGAGGUUGGCUUAGAAGCAGCCACCCUUUAAAGAAAGCGUAAUAGCUCACUAGUCGAGUCGGCCUGCGCGGAAGAUGUAACGGGGCUCAAACCAUACACCGAAGCUACGGGUAUCACUUAGGUGAUGCGGUAGAGGAGCGUUCUGUAAGCCUGUGAAGGUGAGUUGAGAAGCUUGCUGGAGGUAUCAGAAGUGCGAAUGCUGACAUGAGUAACGACAAUGGGAGUGAAAAACUCCCACGCCGAAAGACCAAGGUUUCCUGCGCAACGUUAAUCGACGCAGGGUUAGUCGGUCCCUAAGGCGAGGCUGAAAAGCGUAGUCGAUGGAAAACAGGUUAAUAUUCCUGUACUUCUAGUUAUUGCGAUGGAGGGACGGAGAAGGCUAGGCCAGCUUGGCGUUGGUUGUCCAAGUUUAAGGUGGUAGGCUGAGAUCUUAGGUAAAUCCGGGAUCUUAAGGGCGAGAGCUGAUGACGAGUUGCCAUUAGGCGACGAAGUGGUUGAUGCCAUGCUUCCAAGAAAAGCUUCUAAGCUUCAGAUAACUAGGAACCGUACCCCAAACCGACACAGGUGGUUGGGUAGAGAAUACCAAGGCGCUUGAGAGAACUCGGGUGAAGGAACUAGGCAAAAUGGCACCGUAACUUCGGGAGAAGGUGCGCCGGUGAGGGUGAAGGACUUGCUCCGUAAGCCCAUGCCGGUCGAAGAUACCAGGCCGCUGCGACUGUUUAUUAAAAACACAGCACUCUGCAAACACGAAAGUGGACGUAUAGGGUGUGACGCCUGCCCGGUGCCGGAAGGUUAAUUGAUGGGGUUAGCUAACGCGAAGCUCUUGAUCGAAGCCCCGGUAAACGGCGGCCGUAACUAUAACGGUCCUAAGGUAGCGAAAUUCCUUGUCGGGUAAGUUCCGACCUGCACGAAUGGCGUAACGAUGGCGGCGCUGUCUCCACCCGAGACUCAGUGAAAUUGAAAUCGCUGUGAAGAUGCAGUGUAUCCGCGGCUAGACGGAAAGACCCCGUGAACCUUUACUAUAGCUUUGCACUGGACUUUGAAUUUGCUUGUGUAGGAUAGGUGGGAGGCUUUGAAGCGUGGACGCCAGUUCGCGUGGAGCCAUCCUUGAAAUACCACCCUGGCAACUUUGAGGUUCUAACUCAGGUCCGUUAUCCGGAUCGAGGACAGUGUAUGGUGGGUAGUUUGACUGGGGCGGUCUCCUCCUAAAGAGUAACGGAGGAGUACGAAGGUGCGCUCAGACCGGUCGGAAAUCGGUCGUAGAGUAUAAAGGCAAAAGCGCGCUUGACUGCGAGACAGACACGUCGAGCAGGUACGAAAGUAGGUCUUAGUGAUCCGGUGGUUCUGUAUGGAAGGGCCAUCGCUCAACGGAUAAAAGGUACUCCGGGGAUAACAGGCUGAUACCGCCCAAGAGUUCAUAUCGACGGCGGUGUUUGGCACCUCGAUGUCGGCUCAUCACAUCCUGGGGCUGAAGCCGGUCCCAAGGGUAUGGCUGUUCGCCAUUUAAAGUGGUACGCGAGCUGGGUUUAGAACGUCGUGAGACAGUUCGGUCCCUAUCUGCCGUGGACGUUUGAGAUUUGAGAGGGGCUGCUCCUAGUACGAGAGGACCGGAGUGGACGAACCUCUGGUGUUCCGGUUGUCACGCCAGUGGCAUUGCCGGGUAGCUAUGUUCGGAAGAGAUAACCGCUGAAAGCAUCUAAGCGGGAAACUUGCCUCAAGAUGAGAUCUCACUGGAGCCUUGAGCUCCCUGAAGGGCCGUCGAAGACUACGACGUUGAUAGGUUGGGUGUGUAAGCGCUGUGAGGCGUUGAGCUAACCAAUACUAAUUGCCCGUGAGGCUUGACCAU